CCCGUCGUUUCUCACUCUUUCCCUCUUGUACCGUAGAACCAUUAAUAAUAGCAAGUUUUAAAGUUAGUCACAGGAUUUUCAACUUUAGUUUUUCUAUGUCCUAUAAUUACAAUAAUUACUCUUAUAAGUUUACUCUAGUAUUCCGCCCAAAGUAUUCCUUGAUAAACUCUAAGCUCUGCAGUUCAGUUCUAGUCUAGCGGUUAUUUUUGAGUUAGCUUUUGUUUUCUUCCAUAAAAAAUAGUUCCUAUUUUUUAUUUUUCACAGAAAGGGGGUAAUGUAACGUGUCAAUAAGUCACGUCACAUACUAAACACAUAUUUAAUAAAGUUCUCCAUGAGUUAGCCUACAUUUGUUUAGAUUUAUUUCCAAAUUAGAAAAUAUUCCCAAUUCCUGUUUUAUUUACAACCAUUCGCUUGUCACUUUGACGUUUGACAGCGAACUAUUUGAGUUUCGUUGUCUUUGACAGAUUCGGUAACUUUCAUUCCAAUGCCUUUAAAAUUGUCUCAAACGUUUUCAUAUUUGAUAAAUUCUUCUUUUCGUUUAAAUUUCGCAAGUGGUAGUUUUGUUUUAGGAAAAAUAGAUCCGACAAUAUUUGAUAAUAUAUUUAAUAAUAUAUUCGUCAAAAAUUGUUCAAAAUUUAUUACAAUUUUAGCAUUUUGGUUAGCAAAAAUCAUUCUUAUUUCGGAUCUGGUAACAUUUCUUCUUAUCGAUGGUUCGAUGUGAAUUCCGUCUUGUCAUUUUACUGUCAGCUUUCUCAUUGGAAAACAGAUAAAAUUUUGAUCCGAGAAAAUCAUUGUAAAUUUCCAUUAUUUUGGUGAAAUACCGGCAGUGCUUUGUUCCGGAGGUUUGCUCCGUCCCUCAGGAAUGGAUUAGGGGCGAAAAUAAUGCCGCCACGGCAAACCCCGGCAACCUAAUGAAGGGCUAACGUAAGUUUUUCCUCAAUUUCCACAAUCGUCUUUCGGAAAAUGCGAUUCCUUUUAAAUUUUCCGGUUCGACUUUAGCUGACUCGCGCCAUUUUUCUUUUCCAGAUAAGGGGCGUGUUAGCCCUUAUAACCCUUAUAAUCCUUUUAA
Long non-coding RNA from Cydia amplana, 1069 nucleotides. RefSeq lists it as uncharacterized. The record is from RefSeq and is a predicted model, not a curated record. Lineage: Eukaryota; Metazoa; Arthropoda; Insecta; Lepidoptera; Tortricidae. The transcript has 2 exons.